CCUACGGGAGGCAGCAGUGAGGAAUAUUGGUCAAUGGGCUUACGCCUGAACCAGCCAAGUCGCGUGAGGGAAGACUGCCCUAUGGGUUGUAAACCUCUUUUGUCCGGUAGCAACGCCGGCUACGUGUAGCCGGACUGAGAGUACCUGAAGCAAAAGCAUCGGCUACCUCCGUGCCAGCAGCCGCGGUAAUACGGGGGAUGCGAGCGUUAUCCGGAUUUAUUGGGUUUAAAGGGUGCGUAGGCGGAAUGCCAAGUCUGCGGUAACAUCGCGGGGCUCAACCUCGCUCCGCCGUUUAAACUGUCGUUCUUGAGUGGGCGAGAAGUAGGCGGAAGGCGUGGUGUAGCGGUGAAAUGCAUAGAUAUCACACAGAACUCCGAGUGCGAAGGCAGCAUACCAGCGCCCAACUGACGCUGAAGCACGAAAGCGUGGGUAUCGAACAGGAUUAGAUACCCGAGUAGUC
This 460-nucleotide ribosomal RNA is filed under the name uncultured bacterium. Its description in RNAcentral is "partial 16S ribosomal RNA". It matches the Rfam family "Bacterial small subunit ribosomal RNA", at positions 338 to 795 of the family's 1533-position model. The record is from RNAcentral.